RNAcentral lists this ribosomal RNA (1277 nucleotides) under metagenome. RNAcentral's name for it is "bacterial SSU rRNA". It matches the Rfam family "Archaeal small subunit ribosomal RNA", at positions 1 to 1306 of the family's 1478-position model. The record is from RNAcentral.
UCCAGUUGAUCCUGCUGGCGGCUGCGGCUCUUUGGUUUGCGUUUAGACAUGCAAGUUUUUCUGUUCAUUGAAUGGAAAGCGAACUGCUCAGUAACACGUAGCUAAUCUGCCCUUAGGUCAGGGAUAUCCUCGGGAAACUGAGGUUAACACCUGAUAAGAGAUAUUCCUGGAAUGAUUUAUCUCUGAAAUUCGUGCCUAAGGAUGAGGCUGCGGUGGAUUAGGUAGUUGGUGGUAUAAGAGACUACCAAGCCAUUUAUCCAUAAGGGCUCUUAGCGGAGAGGCCCUGAGAGGGAAUCUGAGAUACUAUUCCCAGCCCCACGGGGUGCAGCAGUUAGGAAUAUUCUGCAAUGCGCGCAAGCGUGACAGAUUGAACCAGAGUGUUUGUCAUUAGACAGACUUUUGUGGAAUGUAAAAAGUUCUACGAAUAAGGACUGGGUAAGACUAGUGCCAGCCGCCGCGGUAAUACUAGCGGUCCAAGUCGCAGCCACUUUUAUUGGGUCUAAAACAUCCGUAGCUUGUUUGGUAAGUUUCUUGUGAAAUCUUGUCUCUUAAAGACAGGGCGGGCAGGAAAUACUGCCAGGCUAGAGAUCGGGAGACGUAAUGAGUACGGCUAAAGUAACAGUAAAAUGUUUUAAUCUUAGUCGGACUAACAAUAGCGAAGGCACAUUACGAGAACGGUUCUGACAGUAAGGGAUGAAAGCUAGGGGCGCAAAACGGAUUAGAUACCCGUGUAGUCCUAGCAGUAAACACUGCACACUAAACAUUGGGACCUCUUCGGGAGGUUUCAGUGCUGCAGGGAAGCCGAAGAGUGUGCUACCUGGGAAGUAUAGUCGCAAGACCGAAACUUAAAGGAAUUGGCGGGGAGACACUACAAUGGGUGACGCGUGCGGUUCAAUUAGAUUCUACACCGUGAACCUCACCAGGAGCGACAGCAGGAUGAAGGUCAGUCUAAAGGGCUUACCUGACACGCUGAGAGGAGUUGCAUGGCCAACGUCAGCCUGUGCCGUGAGGUGACCUGUUAAAUCAGGUAACAGGCGAGACCCACAUGUAUAUUUACUAAGUGUACCAUAUACAGAUUGCCUUGGUAACAAGGAUGAAAGCGUGGGCUACGUUAGGUGAGUACAGCCCGAAUCCCCUGGGCAACACGCGCGCGGCAAUGGUGAAUACAACGGGACGCGACUCUGAAAAGAGAAGCUAAUCUCUUAAAAUUCAUCUUAGUCCAAAUUGAGGUUUGUAACCCAACCUCAUGCCGAUGGAAUCCAUAGUAAUCGUUUGUU